This 927-nucleotide ribosomal RNA is filed under the name Staphylococcus epidermidis. Its description in RNAcentral is "partial 23S ribosomal RNA". It matches the Rfam family "Bacterial large subunit ribosomal RNA", at positions 1 to 924 of the family's 2925-position model. The record is from RNAcentral. Lineage: Bacteria; Bacillati; Bacillota; Bacilli; Caryophanales; Staphylococcaceae.
AGAUUAAGUUAUUAAGGGCGCACGGUGGAUGCCUUGGCACUAGAAGCCGAUGAAGGACGUUACUAACGACGAUAUGCUUUGGGUAGCUGUAAGUAAGCGUUGAUCCAGAGAUUUCCGAAUGGGGGAACCCAACAUGAGUUAUGUCAUGUUAUCGACAUGUGAAUUCAUAGCAUGUCAGAAGGCAGACCCGGAGAACUGAAACAUCUUAGUACCCGGAGGAAGAGAAAGAAAAAUCGAUUCCCUGAGUAGCGGCGAGCGAAACGGGAAAAGCCCAAACCAACAAGCUUGCUUGUUGGGGUUGUAGGACACUCUAUACGGAGUUACAAAAGAACAUGUUAGACGAAUCAUCUGGAAAGAUGAAUCAAAGAAGGUAAUAAUCCUGUAGUCGAAAACAUAUUCUCUCUUGAGUGGAUCCUGAGUACGACGGAGCACGUGAAAUUCCGUCGGAAUCUGGGAGGACCAUCUCCUAAGGCUAAAUACUCUCUAGUGACCGAUAGUGAACCAGUACCGUGAGGGAAAGGUGAAAAGUACCCCGGAAGGGGAGUGAAAGAGAACUUGAAACCGUGUGCUUACAAGUAGUCAGAGCCCGUUAAUGGGUGAUGGCGUGCCUUUUGUAGAAUGAACCGGCGAGUUACGAUCUGAUGCAAGGUUAAGCAGCAAAUGUGGAGCCGCAGCGAAAGCGAGUCUGAAUAGGGCGUUGAGUAUUUGGUCGUAGACCCGAAACCAGGUGAUCUACCCUUGGUCAGGUUGAAGUUCAGGUAACACUGAAUGGAGGACCGAACCGACUUACGUUGAAAAGUGAGCGGAUGAACUGAGGGUAGCGGAGAAAUUCCAAUCGAACUUGGAGAUAGCUGGUUCUCUCCGAAAUAGCUUUAGGGCUAGCCUCAAGUGAUGAUUAUUGGAGGUAGAGCACUGUUUGGACGAGGG